RNAcentral lists this ribosomal RNA (1327 nucleotides) under human gut metagenome. RNAcentral describes it as "bacterial LSU rRNA". It matches the Rfam family "Bacterial large subunit ribosomal RNA", at positions 1583 to 2925 of the family's 2925-position model. The record is from RNAcentral.
AUCAAGCUUAUCGAUACCGUCUGCGUCAAGAAAAGCCGCUAUUGUUUAUACCGUACCCGUACCGUAAACCGACACAGGUGGAUGAGGAGAGAAUCCUAAGGCCGGCGGAAGAAGCAUUGUCAAGGAACUCGGCAAAAUGGCCCCGUAACUUAGGGAUAAGGGGUGCCUGGGAAACCAGGCCGCAGAGAAUAGGCUCAAGCAACUGUUUAGCAAAAACACAGGUCUAUGCGAAACCGAAAGGUGAGGUAUAUGGGCUGACGCCUGCCCGGUGCUGGAAGGUUAAGAGGAGAGGUUAGCGGUAACGCGAAGCUUUGAAUUUAAGCCCCAGUAAACGGCGGCCGUAACUAUAACGGUCCUAAGGUAGCGAAAUUCCUUGUCGGGUAAGUUCCGACCCGCACGAAAGGCGUAAUGAUUUGAGCGCUGUCUCGACAAUGCAUCCGGUGAAAUUGAAGUACCAGUGAAGAUGCUGGUUACCUGCGCCAGGACGGAAAGACCCCAUGGAGCUUUACUCCAGUCUGGUACUGGGACUCGGUAUUGCAUGUACAGGAUAGGUGGGAGGCUAGGAGAUGGUAACGCCAGUUGCCAUGGAGCCGCUGUUGGGAUACCACCCUUGCAGUAUUGGGUUUCUAACCAGCCGCCGUGACCCGGCGGUGGGACAAUGCCAGACGGGGAGUUUGACUGGGGCGGUCGCCUCCGAAAGGGUAUCGGAGGCGCCCAAAGGUUCCCUCAGAAUGGACGGAAACCAUUCGAAGAGUGCAAAGGCAGAAGGGAGCUUGACUGCGACACCGACGGGUGGAGCAGGUACGAAAGUAGGGCUUAGUGAUCCGGUGGUAUUAAGUGGGAAUGCCAUCGCUCAACGGAUAAAAGCUACCCUGGGGAUAACAGGCUUAUCACUCCCAAGAGUUCACAUCGACGGAGUGGUUUGGCACCUCGAUGUCGGCUCAUCGCAUCCUGGGGCUGUAGUAGGUCCCAAGGGUUGGGCUGUUCGCCCAUUAAAGCGGUACGCGAGCUGGGUUCAGAACGUCGUGAGACAGUUCGGUCCCUAUCCGGCGUGGGCGUAGGAUAUCUGAGAGGAGCUGUCCUUAGUACGAGAGGACCGGGAUGGACGGGCCGCUGGUGCAUCGGUUAGACUGCCAAGUCUACGGCCGAGUAGCCAAGCCCGGAAGGGAUAAACGCUGAAGGCAUCUAAGCGUGAAGCCCCCCUUAAGAUGAGAUAUCCCAUUCGAAAGAAGUAAACCCCCUUGAAGACGACGAGGUAGAUAGGGCAGAGGUGGAAGUGCAGCAAUGCAUGGAGCUGACUGUUACUAAUCGGGUGAGGGCUUGACCA